RNAcentral lists this long non-coding RNA (292 nucleotides) under Medicago truncatula (barrel medic). RNAcentral's name for it is "long non-coding RNA (MTRU_LNC002753)". Lineage: Eukaryota; Viridiplantae; Streptophyta; Magnoliopsida; Fabales; Fabaceae. The record is from RNAcentral.
UGGCUAGUAGAUCAGCAAUGUGACAUGAGCAUUAUUCAGCCUCCUGGUUUUUGCAAACCGUCGGUGGUUUGGAUUAUAUUGAUUUGAUGGGCACAUUGAUUCAAUCAUUUCAUUUUGAAAUUAAUUAGUUUUCAAAUAAAGUUUAAUAUUAACUCAUUUAGUAUGACAAUUUGUGCGAAUACUAGAUGUAUCAUGUAUGUGUAUCAAUGUUACGAUUUUGUCCACUAAAAAAAAAAGAAUGUUAUGAUUUGGCAGUUUGAUUUAAAUUAGAUCAAUUUACAUCAUAUGAUCA